CUCCAGACUCCUACGGGAGGCAGCAGUGGGGAAUAUUGCACAAUGGGGGAAACCCUGAUGCAGCGACGCCGCGUGAGUGAAGAAGUAUUUCGGUAUGUAAAGCCCUCUCAGCAGGGAAGAAAAUGACGGUACCUGACUAAGAAGCCCCGGCUAAAUACGUGCCAGCAGCCGCGGUAAUACGUAUGGGGCAAGCGUUAUCCGGAUUUACUGGGUGUAAAGGGAGCGCAGGCGGCCUGGCAAGCCUGAUGUGAAAUGCCGGGGCCCAACCCCGGGGCUGCAUUGGGAACUGCCAGGCUGGAGUGCCGGAGAGGCAGGCGGAAUUCCUAGUGUAGCGGUGAAAUGCGUAGAUAUUAGGAGGAACACCAGUGGCGAAGGCGGCCUGCUGGACGGUGACUGACGCUGAGGCUCGAAAGCGUGGGGAGCAAACAGGAUUAGAUACCCCUGUA
Molecule: ribosomal RNA, 446 nt
Filed under: uncultured bacterium
Lineage: Bacteria
Description: bacterial SSU rRNA
Rfam family: Bacterial small subunit ribosomal RNA
Source: RNAcentral